This 69-nucleotide transfer RNA is filed under the name Heteropteryx dilatata (New Guinea walking stick). RNAcentral describes it as "tRNA-Gln". The record is from RNAcentral. Lineage: Eukaryota; Metazoa; Arthropoda; Insecta; Phasmatodea; Heteropterygidae.
UAUGCCUUAUUGUAUGAUGCAUAAAAGUUUUUGAUACUUUUGGAGAUAGUUUAAUUCUGUUAGGUAUAA